Procambarus clarkii (red swamp crayfish) is the source of this 2659-nucleotide non-coding RNA. The record is from RefSeq and is a predicted model, not a curated record. NCBI's taxonomy places the organism in Eukaryota, Metazoa, Arthropoda, Malacostraca, Decapoda, Cambaridae.
GACCCGCCUCCGCCCGCCGGCCCGCGUCACGCGGUCAGUGACGGACACGCAGUCAGAGGGGAUGGACGCUACGUCUGUCACUUACUGUAAAAUAUUAUUAUAGUUACACUGAGUAUUGAUACUUACACUAGGAGGAACUCUAAACACCGCGGCAGACUCACUACGUCAUAACAAACACUUGUGAGAGUUGGACUAUUGGCCUCACAUUACGUCACAGUAGACGAAGACACCAAAAAGUUGACCAUUCCAGAAGUUAUGGAACUUCUCGCCCCUUCUAAAUGAAGAUAAAUAUUAGAAGACAGGAAGAGUGUGUGACUCCAGACAAGCAGUAAGGCGAGACUGACGGGCAGAAAGCACAAGACCUCCAACAUCUUGCCAGUAACACCAGUACUGCAGAAGAGAACGAGGCCGGCCGCCUGUUGUAGCAGUUUGGCCCAGAACUGCACGUUUGGUGGCGGGAAAUGAGCCAAUCAGAGUCGCCGACCUAGAAACCAAGCGCACGGAUCAAUUUGGGCAGUCAGUACUCCACUCGGUCCAGUGGCAGAAGCAUAAAGUACUAGGCUUGUGGUCCAUUGAUACAAAAGGCCGAAAACGUGCUCCACCCCGGCAAGCAGUGUGUUGGCUCGGCGUUUGAGGGAGGAGAUUUGGUGGGUGCAUGGAAUCACUUUUGGGUCUUCGUUUGGAAGACGGGCUGCUUUAUUGGGACUGACUGGUGACUGCAGUGGAUUGACAUUGGGGCGACUGAUAGAUGAAAGGAUGAGCGGUCAAUGUUGACGAGGAAGGUAUGAUACGAGCGGACCUGCAGAUUAAUUCAACAGAGAAGAAUUAAAUGCCAGUCAAAGCAUAGAUAUCCAAUGGACUUGGAAAGGAAGCAUCAACAUUGGCGGCCUCUUGUCUGACUCGUAUAUUCCCCAUGAAGCUCUUUCUCAUCCAUGGACGAUGUUAGUUGAAGCUUACUCUGGUCUAUGGACUUUCUUAGAAGGAAACGAGGCCGACGACAGUUGUUUGGCCCAGAACUGCACGUUUGGUGGCGGGAAGUGAGAGCCAAUCAGUCGCCGACCGAGACAAGAGCACGAAUAAAUGUGGACAGUGUGCUCAGUCCAGCGACAGAAACGGUGCUCGGCUCGCUGUGCACAGACAAGUGCUUCGCUCAGUCCAGGGACAUAAACAUAAAUACGAUCACCACAGCAAGCAGUGUAUUAGUUCGGCGUUUGGAAGAGUCGCCUGAGGGAGACGCGUGGAAUUUGUCGACCUUGCAUGGGAAGACGACUUAAAAUUCAUUACGUGGGCAACAGCGCUGGAUGGUUCAGAAAUAUAGUGAUUCGGUCUCUAUUGGUGCGAUAUGAUACUGACUGGUGACGGCAGUGGAUUGACAUCUGCACACACUAUACAUAAAACUAAAUAUAUAUAUAAUUUUUGUUAAAAAAUAUAGUUAAGGUAGUUUGUCUUGGUAAUCAUUUCCCCCGAAGAUUUGAGGAAAUUUAUCAAGUGAAUUAAUGUAUAAUGACUUAUAGUAAAUAUAUAACUUUGGAAAUAGAACAUUUUCUGUAUUUAACUGACAUUGUAAUUAUAAGGUGUGAAGGAUAGAUGAAAUUGUUAAUGUAAUGUCCAUUGAGGUUUGUUGAAGACCUGUUGUGCCCUCUGUAAUCCUUUUUGCGCUACCGCUCACAGGAUGAGCAUGGGGUGCACAAUCAACUAGCAUCCUCCGGCGGCAACAAUGCUGGCCCAUCCUGACUGUUUACCUGACGAGAACUGUUCCUGACCAGUACACACGAGACCUCGUUGCGGCAUUGAGGAAAUAGCUGGUGAUUUGUCGAUUCGUCAUCAUUCAUAAAGUGACGUAAGAAGUCAAUCGGCGAUGAAGAUGGUCCAAUUUUUCUUGGCAGAAAUUGUUCAGUGUGAAAAAUUUAGAUAGCGAAGCUUAAUUAGUUGAAUGGUACUUGUAAAUAAAUCUUGUAUGAGGACCAACAUCUUGCUACUAAUAAAGGAAAUACCUGGUACAUGUAAUUAAAGUAUUAGAUGUAUUGUCUAAAAUCAGAGUUAGCGUUUUCACUUUACGUACAUGUAAAAAGUAUUUAUUUUGCCCUAUAUUAACUUUCUUGCCAUGGUGACUUUUGAUAAUACUUUAUUUACCCUGCAAAGAUCAAUAUUUAAAUGUCUGAAGUGUUAAAUUACUAAAAUCUGUAAUGUAUUAAGUAUGGUAGGCACAGUGUAAACAGUGGUUGUUACCAGUAAUUAUAAUUCAAUUCUGGGGCCCCUCUAAUAUUUGAGAGGGCUCCUUGGUGCUGCGUAUUGGAAAGCGCUCGUAUUAGCAUUCUUGGUGAUAUUUAGCGCCCUCUGAUUCUCCCGCACAUUUGAUGGUGCUACAUAGCCUUCCCGGUUUGGUGCCUUCUUUUGAUAAUUACCUUACCUUCAGGUAGUACAUUGACCUACAUACAAGUAGGCAACAUAUACCUACCUACAUUAAUAGUAGGUACAAUAGAAAAGUUACCUACUAUUGGUGGCAACACUUGGCUUGCAAUGCCAAGUGUUGUAACGCCUAGCUUGUAACUGGGAGCUAAGUUUCAGGUCUGUGUCCGUCCUUUUCCCCCCUGUUACCUUGACCCCCUCCUUGUUGCCCCAUGAAUCUUCCCAUUGUGAUAAUAAAGAGGUACACGAA